AAGUGUCUCAAAGUGAGAUU
RNAcentral lists this small nuclear RNA (20 nucleotides) under Arabidopsis thaliana (thale cress). RNAcentral's name for it is "snRNA_12263". The record is from RNAcentral. Lineage: Eukaryota; Viridiplantae; Streptophyta; Magnoliopsida; Brassicales; Brassicaceae.